This 731-nucleotide ribosomal RNA is filed under the name Salmonella enterica. RNAcentral describes it as "partial 23S ribosomal RNA". It matches the Rfam family "Bacterial large subunit ribosomal RNA", at positions 711 to 1439 of the family's 2925-position model. The record is from RNAcentral. Lineage: Bacteria; Pseudomonadati; Pseudomonadota; Gammaproteobacteria; Enterobacterales; Enterobacteriaceae.
AGACCCGAAACCCGGUGAUCUAGCCAUGGGCAGGUUGAAGGUUGGGUAACACUAACUGGAGGACCGAACCGACUAAUGUUGAAAAAUUAGCGGAUGACCUGUGGCUGGGGGUGAAAGGCCAAUCAAACCGGGAGAUAGCUGGUUCUCCCCGAAAGCUAUUUAGGUAGCGCCUCGUGAAUUCAUCUCCGGGGGUAGAGCACUGUUUCGGCCAGGGGGCCAUCCCGGCUUACCAACCCGAUGCAAACUGCGAAUACCGGAGAAUGUUAUCACGGGAGACACACGGCGGGUGCUAACGUCCGUCGUGAAGAGGGAAACAACCCAGACCGCCAGCUAAGGUCCCAAAGUCAUGGUUAAGUGGGAAACGAUGUGGGAAGGCCCAGACAGCCAGGAUGUUGGCUUAGAAGCAGCCAUCAUUUAAAGAAAGCGUAAUAGCUCACUGGUCGAGUCGGCCUGCGCGGAAGAUGUAACGGGGCUAAACCAUGCACCGAAGCUGCGGCAGCGACACUGUGUGUUGUUGGGUAGGGGAGCGUUCUGUAAGCCUGCGAAGGUGGCCUGUGAGGGUUGCUGGAGGUAUCAGAAGUGCGAAUGCUGACAUAAGUAACGAUAAUGCGGGUGAAAAACCCGCACGCCGGAAGACCAAGGGUUCCUGUCCAACGUUAAUCGGGGCAGGGUGAGUCGACCCCUAAGGCGAGGCCGAAAGGCGUAGUCGAUGGGAAACGGGUUAAUAUUCC